CGAGUGGCGGACGGGUGAGUAAUGUCUGGGAAACUGCCCGAUGGAGGGGGAUAACUACUGGAAACGGUAGCUAAUACCGCAUAACGUCGCAAGACCAAAGAGGGGGACCUUAGGGCCUCUUGCCAUCGGAUGUGCCCAGAUGGGAUUAGCUAGUAGGUGGGGUAACGGCUCACCUAGGCGACGAUCCCUAGCUGGUCUGAGAGGAUGACCAGCCACACUGGAACUGAGACACGGUCCAG
This 239-nucleotide ribosomal RNA is filed under the name uncultured bacterium. Its description in RNAcentral is "partial 16S ribosomal RNA". It matches the Rfam family "Bacterial small subunit ribosomal RNA", at positions 92 to 334 of the family's 1533-position model. The record is from RNAcentral.